UAAAUAUUUAUUUGUAGGAAAGCUACGGAUGAUAUAUUGUGUAUGCAGUGCUUGAAAAUUCAGCCUGUUGGGCCAGGUUGCUCAAUUUCUUCCUGUGGUGGACUAUCGAUAGCAGAGUAAUAUUGCAGUACUUGCAAAUUUUAAAAUGAUAAAAGAACAAAGAUGUAACUGAUGCAAUUCAGAAGGUUGCUGCUGCUUAUGACUGCAAAAUUGUUGAAUGUGUUUUUCUCCAUCAGCUGAAGCAGUUUGACAGGAACUACCACUUGAAGAUGAAAGCAUCGAGGUUUAUUUUCAGUGAAAUAAAUCAGAAAUUUCCUCCCAUGCCAUUCACAGCUAGGAGAUUAUGUUGCUCACAUCAAAUUCACAGUUUUGCUAAUGCCAAAUGUUUCGAAUAGAGUCACAUCUCAUCCUCUGCAGGAGCUGCAGCCCACAAAGACAACAGAUGAUCCUGAAAGCAAGGCCUUACUAGCCUUGGGCACCAUGAAAAAGAAGAAAGGUAAAAAGGUUGACAAAGCUGAGGAAUCAACAGAAGCCAUGCCUAUGGAUCCAACAACAAAUGGUG
Molecule: non-coding RNA, 562 nt
Organism: Corylus avellana
Lineage: Eukaryota; Viridiplantae; Streptophyta; Magnoliopsida; Fagales; Betulaceae
Source: RefSeq, a predicted model, not a curated record